Molecule: long non-coding RNA, 1572 nt
Organism: Leptopilina boulardi
Lineage: Eukaryota; Metazoa; Arthropoda; Insecta; Hymenoptera; Figitidae
Exons: 3
Source: RefSeq, a predicted model, not a curated record
AGCGCGCAAAAUUAUCAGUCGUAAAUUAUUUUUCGCGGGAUGUGUGAAAAAGUGUGAAGAAUAGAAAAAGAAAAUCAAAGUCAAUUAAAAAGAAGAAAAGACGUUUAUUGUUAUUUUCGGGAUGAAAUAAGCUUUUUGCAAUUGGUUAAAAAAAAACUAUUUUUUAUUGCACAAAAAAAGUUAAUUUGCGUAAAAAAUCGCUAUUAUUGAAAAGAAAUAGUAAAAGUAAAAGACACUUUUUUUUUCUCUCGUGACGUAAUUUUCCGCGAAGAAUGUGACAAGAUUUUUUUUUUUUUUGGGGAUAUUUUGAGUGUGGAGGAGAAUAUUAUUCUCUUGGGCGGUUUUGAGUCAAUUUUCAAAGGGCGUGCGCCAUGGUUAUAUACUAUCUUUUCUAAAUGGGACAAGGGCCUUUUGUCACUCACCGUGUGGCGACCCAUCACAAAAACCAAACUCGACAAUAAACACCCGAUGUCGGCAUUGUCAUUGACACAACAGCAGUCACAAUAUUCUACAAUCUAUACGGUGGAUAUACACACUCUUCUCUUAUGGCUUUUCGGUGAGAGUCUCUGGAGACUUAACGCAGUAUCUAUCUUCAACAUCCAUGAUAUAUGUAGGAGACCCUGUGGUUAACGGACCAGCAGCUGUCGGGCGCCUUCAUCAAUGAAAUAUCCCGCAUACCAUGCUUGCGCAUUUGAAUGAAACAUAUUUUCAAAGUGGGAAUUUGCAAACAACACAACACCAUUCAAAUUUUAAUACAUGUUUCAGAAAGAAAAAGAUUUUAUGUGUUUUUAAAAUACAUUAUAUAGCAAAACUAAAUCGCUCGACUAUUGAAAGACAUUAUAUAGAAGAAAGAAGGAAGAAAAUUAGAGGUUAAGUUACAUUUUAUAAGGAAGAAAAAGUAAUCAUUUAUUAAUUAAAAAUAUUUAGUGAAAAAAAGACAGAAAUAAUUAAAUGAAAAUUGUCUUAAUAAACAUAAAAGUGAAAUCUAUUUGUGUGCAGGUAGAAAAAUAUUCCUUUGUGUUAGUCUUUUGUUGACAAUAAAAGUCUCUUCAAAAGCAUCAGUAAUUAUCUGCCCUCUACAUUUAUUAUUAUGCAGAGUUGACCUCUUCUUGAAAGUGAAAAUUUCAUAGUAAUAUUAAACUAUAUUUAAAAGUGCGUGCGUUGGGAGUGUUUGUUAAAUUUUAUAAUCGCGAUCGUAAUUUCGGGAGUGAAGUGAGUGAAUUUUCUUCGUUAGUGAACAAAAGUGUUUUCAAGCAAAAAAUCAAAGAUCUCAAGUGUAUUCCGAAAACAUGUGCUUGUUACUUUUGGCAGUUUACAAUUUCACACAUCAAUUGGUCCAGAAUAGUGAUGCUGCGAUUUGUUGAGGAAAAGGUGCGUUUGUUGCAGAGAGGUUCUUCAUGGAGGAGAUCUAGCAUAGCUGAGCACAAUUAAAGUUGAGGAAAUGUGUGACAGAAGGGGUCGUUGAAGAAUGUUCCUUUUGUAAUCAAGGUUAAAUUGAUUAAUUGAUUAUCAAGUACCUGGCAGUGCUGAAGAAGAGUAUUGGCAGGUCGCUCGACAUCCUGUCGAAACUUA